RNAcentral lists this ribosomal RNA (884 nucleotides) under uncultured low G+C Gram-positive bacterium. RNAcentral describes it as "partial 16S ribosomal RNA". The record is from RNAcentral. Lineage: Bacteria; Bacillati; Bacillota.
CGAUAAUCGACUCNUAANGGGUCGAUNGGNNCUGACGUNCUAUGCAUCGGGNCGCCAUGGCCGCUGGCAUAACAUUGUAUCCAUGGCCACGACUAACCUGGGCGGCGUGCCUGAUAUGGGUACAUCGAGCGAACUUGCGGGAUCUUGCUCCCAAAAGUUAGCGGCGGACGGGUGAGUAACACNUGGGCAACCUGCCUAUAAGACUGGAAUAACUUCGGGAAACCGAAGCUAGUACGGGAGAGUCCUUUUCUACACAUAUANAAAUACUAAAUCACAUAUAACACUAUCACAUAAAAAAUGGAGGGGGGAGGGAAGGAACAGAGGAAAAAGGGAAGGAAAGCCGCGAGAGAGAGGUGGGGGUGGGAGAGGGGGGUGAUAGGGGGAGAGGGGGGGGACGGGGGACAGGGAAAGGAGGAGAGGGGGGAGAAGAGGGGGGGUGGAGGGUAGGAAGGGAAGGAGGGGGGAGUGGGGAAAGGGGAGGAAAGAAAAGGAAAAAGAAAGAAGGAUAGAGGAGGGAAAGGGGGGGGAGGGAGGGAAGGGAGGGAGAGGGGAGAAGGAGAGAGAGGGGAGGGGAAAGGAGGGGGGGGGUAGGGAGCGAGGAGGGGAGGGAGGGGGGAGGGGAGGUGGAGGAGGAGGAUGUAAAAAGGGAGGGGGAAGGGAGACGAGGAGUUGGAGGGGAGGAGGAAGGGAGGAAGAGAGGAUGGAGGAGGGGGGGGUGGGGGAGAGGAGGGGGGGAGUCAGGCAGGCUGCGGGGGCGGACGCGUAGGAGGGGGCGGGCGGGGGGGGAGGGGAGGAGGGGAGGAGAACAAUACAAGAGAACGGAGAAGGGGGGAAGGGAGGGAAAAAGGUAGGCAGCGGCGGGAAAGCAGGUAGGGGAGUGUGGG